RNAcentral lists this long non-coding RNA (760 nucleotides) under Helianthus annuus (common sunflower). RNAcentral's name for it is "hypothetical non coding rna". The record is from RNAcentral. Lineage: Eukaryota; Viridiplantae; Streptophyta; Magnoliopsida; Asterales; Asteraceae.
UUUGAAAAUCAAAUCAAAUAUCUUCUCCCUCCCCUUGUUCGCACAUUUGCCAGAUAUCCAAAAUCCAAACCCAAAAUUCUUCUUCAAAUCCUUGGUACAAGUCCCAAAAAAAUCCAAAAUCCCACCCCCCUUUUUCGUUCUUGAAAAUAUUUUACCGGUCGGAAAACGGUGUCUCCGGUGAUGGGUAGGGUUUCAAUCGAUCUGUGGAGGUGGUGGCGGAGAUGUGGUAGUGGAGGUGGUGGCGGAGAUGUGGUGGUGGCGGGUAGAUUUUCCGUCAACGAUGCCGAAGCACACAACGGCGAUUGUUGUUAGGUGUUUCUGGUGGUAGUGCUUCCGGUAAGACGACGGUUUGCGACAUGAUUAUUCAACAGCUUCAUAAUCAUCGUGUUGUUCUUGAUUGUGAGAUGUGGGUAGAGAGUGGGCUGUGUUUGAGAGAAGAGGUGAGAAGAGGUGGGUUUAUGUCUGCGUAGGGAAGAGGUGGGGAAGAGGUAAAAGGUGAGAAGUGCUUCUGGAAAACAAACAGGCUGCAGGACCCAAAGGUCUGCGCGUGUCUGCGCGACGCAGACAUAAGUGGCCAGAAGUGCUUCUGGCCAAAAAACAAACAACACCAUAGUCUUACGUUUAAAACAUGAGGAAAAAAUCAAUUAUGAGGAAAAAAAUAAAUUUGAUUGUACGUUAUUAACUCAUUAUUAUACCCAGUUUCCAUUUCUUUGUUAUUUCUUUGUUGGUCAAUGUCUAAUAAUAAACAAAUGGUAAUUAC